GUCCCCGUAGCCCAACCCCUGGUAGAGGCGGCCGGCCUAAAUCCGGCACCAGUGCGGGUUCGAAUCCCGCCGGGGACA
Molecule: transfer RNA, 78 nt
Filed under: Mycobacterium avium
Lineage: Bacteria; Bacillati; Actinomycetota; Actinomycetes; Mycobacteriales; Mycobacteriaceae
Description: tRNA-Leu
Rfam family: tRNA
About the family: Transfer RNA (tRNA) molecules are approximately 80 nucleotides in length. Their secondary structure includes four short double-helical elements and three loops (D, anti-codon, and T loops).
Source: RNAcentral